GGCUCCGUGGUCAAACGGUUAAGACACCACCCUUUCACGGUGGUAUUAUGGGUUCAAAUCCCGUCGGAGUCA
This 72-nucleotide transfer RNA is filed under the name Lachnospiraceae bacterium. RNAcentral describes it as "tRNA-Glu". It matches the Rfam family "tRNA". Rfam says of the family: Transfer RNA (tRNA) molecules are approximately 80 nucleotides in length. Lineage: Bacteria; Bacillati; Bacillota; Clostridia; Lachnospirales; Lachnospiraceae. The record is from RNAcentral.